CUGCCCGUUGGCUGCCAGCUGC
Molecule: microRNA, 22 nt
Filed under: Drosophila virilis
Lineage: Eukaryota; Metazoa; Arthropoda; Insecta; Diptera; Drosophilidae
Description: dvi-miR-9716-3p
Source: miRBase by way of RNAcentral